UUAAGCGACUAAGCGUACACGGUGGAUGCCCUGGCAGUCAGAGGCGAUGAAGGACGUGCUAAUCUGCGAUAAGCGUCGGUGAGGUGAUAUGAACCGUUAUAACCGGCGAUUUCCGAAUGGGGAAACCCAGUGUGUUUCGACACACUAUCAUUAACUGAAUCCAUAGGUUAAUGAGGCGAACCGGGGGAACUGAAACAUCUAAGUACCCCGAGGAAAAGAAAUCAACCGAGAUUCCCCCAGUAGCGGCGAGCGAACGGGGAGGAGCCCAGAGCCUGAAUCAGUGUGUGUGUUAGUGGAAGCGUCUGGAAAGGCGCGCGAUACAGGGUGACAGCCCCGUACACAAAAAUGCACAUAUUGUGAGCUCGAUGAGUAGGGCGGGACACGUGGUAUCCUGUCUGAAUAUGGGGGGACCAUCCUCCAAGGCUAAAUACUCCUGACUGACCGAUAGUGAACCAGUACCGUGAGGGAAAGGCGAAAAGAACCCCGGCGAGGGGAGUGAAAAAGAACCUGAAACCGUGUACGUACAAGCAGUGGGAGCCUCUUUAUGGGGUGACUGCGUACCUUUUGUAUAAUGGGUCAGCGACUUAUAUUCUGUAGCAAGGUUAACCGAAUAGGGGAGCCGAAGGGAAACCGAGUCUUAACUGGGCGUUAAGUUGCAGGGUAUAGACCCGAAACCCGGUGAUCUAGCCAUGGGCAGGUUGAAGGUUGGGUAACACUAACUGGAGGACCGAACCGACUAAUGUUGAAAAAUUAGCGGAUGACUUGUGGCUGGGGGUGAAAGGCCAAUCAAACCGGGAGAUAGCUGGUUCUCCCCGAAAGCUAUUUAGGUAGCGCCUCGUGAAUUCAUCUCCGGGGGUAGAGCACUGUUUCGGCAAGGGGGUCAUCCCGACUUACCAACCCGAUGCAAACUGCGAAUACCGGAGAAUGUUAUCACGGGAGACACACGGCGGGUGCUAACGUCCGUCGUGAAGAGGGAAACAACCCAGACCGCCAGCUAAGGUCCCAAAGUCAUGGUUAAGUGGGAAACGAUGUGGGAAGGCCCAGACAGCCAGGAUGUUGGCUUAGAAGCAGCCAUCAUUUAAAGAAAGCGUAAUAGCUCACUGGUCGAGUCGGCCUGCGCGGAAGAUGUAACGGGGCUAAACCAUGCACCGAAGCUGCGGCAGCGACACUAUGUGUUGUUGGGUAGGGGAGCGUUCUGUAAGCCUGUGAAGGUGGCCUGUGAGGGUUGCUGGAGGUAUCAGAAGUGCGAAUGCUGACAUAAGUAACGAUAAAGCGGGUGAAAAGCCCGCUCGCCGGAAGACCAAGGGUUCCUGUCCAACGUUAAUCGGGGCAGGGUGAGUCGACCCCUAAGGCGAGGCCGAAAGGCGUAGUCGAUGGGAAACAGGUUAAUAUUCCUGUACUUGGUGUUACUGCGAAGGGGGGACGGAGAAGGCUAUGUUGGCCGGGCGACGGUUGUCCCGGUUUAAGCGUGUAGGCUGGUUUUCCAGGCAAAUCCGGAAAACCAAGGCUGAGGCGUGAUGACGAGGCACUACGGUGCUGAAGCGACAAAUGCCCUGCUUCCAGGAAAAGCCUCUAAGCAUCAGGUAACAUCAAAUCGUACCCCAAACCGACACAGGUGGUCAGGUAGAGAAUACCAAGGCGCUUGAGAGAACUCGGGUGAAGGAACUAGGCAAAAUGGUGCCGUAACUUCGGGAGAAGGCACGCUGAUAUGUAGGUGAAGCGACUUGCUCGUGGAGCUGAAAUCAGUCGAAGAUACCAGCUGGCUGCAACUGUUUAUUAAAAACACAGCACUGUGCAAACACGAAAGUGGACGUAUACGGUGUGACGCCUGCCCGGUGCCGGAAGGUUAAUUGAUGGGGUUAGCGGUAACGCGAAGCUCUUGAUCGAAGCCCCGGUAAACGGCGGCCGUAACUAUAACGGUCCUAAGGUAGCGAAAUUCCUUGUCGGGUAAGUUCCGACCUGCACGAAUGGCGUAAUGAUGGCCAGGCUGUCUCCACCCGAGACUCAGUGAAAUUGAACUCGCUGUGAAGAUGCAGUGUACCCGCGGCAAGACGGAAAGACCCCGUGAACCUUUACUAUAGCUUGACACUGAACAUUGAGCCUUGAUGUGUAGGAUAGGUGGGAGGCUUUGAAGUGUGGACGCCAGUCUGCAUGGAGUCGACCUUGAAAUACCACCCUUUAAUGUUUGAUGUUCUAACGUUGGCCCGUAAUCCGGGUUGCGGACAGUGUCUGGUGGGUAGUUUGACUGGGGCGGUCUCCUCCUAAAGAGUAACGGAGGAGCACGAAGGUUGGCUAAUCCUGGUCGGACAUCAGGAGGUUAGUGCAAUGGCAUAAGCCAGCUUGACUGCGAGCGUGACGGCGCGAGCAGGUGCGAAAGCAGGUCAUAGUGAUCCGGUGGUUCUGAAUGGAAGGGCCAUCGCUCAACGGAUAAAAGGUACUCCGGGGAUAACAGGCUGAUACCGCCCAAGAGUUCAUAUCGACGGCGGUGUUUGGCACCUCGAUGUCGGCUCAUCACAUCCUGGGGCUGAAGUAGGUCCCAAGGGUAUGGCUGUUCGCCAUUUAAAGUGGUACGCGAGCUGGGUUUAGAACGUCGUGAGACAGUUCGGUCCCUAUCUGCCGUGGGCGCUGGAGAACUGAGGGGGGCUGCUCCUAGUACGAGAGGACCGGAGUGGACGCAUCACUGGUGUUCGGGUUGUCAUGCCAAUGGCACUGCCCGGUAGCUAAAUGCGGAAGAGAUAAGUGCUGAAAGCAUCUAAGCACGAAACUUGCCCCGAGAUGAGUUCUCCCUGACUCCUUGAGAGUCCUGAAGGAACGUUGAAGACGACGACGUUGAUAGGCCGGGUGUGUAAGCGCAGCGAUGCGUUGAGCUAACCGGUACUAAUGAACCGUGAGGCUUAACCUU
RNAcentral lists this ribosomal RNA (2902 nucleotides) under Escherichia coli. Its description in RNAcentral is "23S ribosomal RNA". It matches the Rfam family "Bacterial large subunit ribosomal RNA". Lineage: Bacteria; Pseudomonadati; Pseudomonadota; Gammaproteobacteria; Enterobacterales; Enterobacteriaceae. The record is from RNAcentral.